Molecule: unclassified non-coding RNA, 785 nt
Filed under: Hevea brasiliensis (rubber tree)
Lineage: Eukaryota; Viridiplantae; Streptophyta; Magnoliopsida; Malpighiales; Euphorbiaceae
Source: RNAcentral
AGAACAGAAAUACCGGAAAGUUUAAUAGAUACACACCAGUUUUAAGGAUAAGUUUCACAUACACACGAGAAAUUAUUGAGGGCAAGCAGCAUGCAUCCAGAGCAACUCUCUAUAUGCUUAAUUUCUCAGGCCUUUCGGCACACAUCUCCAUCGCACGUCCAUCCCUCCUUUCCCUUUUCAGCCUCGCCUUUUUCCUCUUUCUUUAAAGCACACUUGGGGUGGAGAUCAAAGUCGCAUUGCCUACAAUAGAAAGAGUAGAGGUAUCCCAUCUCCCUACAGCCAUUGCACACAUAUCCACUGCGUUUUGUGCGAGUAAGCUCGUGCUGAGAAUGAAGUUCAUGUUUCAGCUUCUCAGGCCACGCCUUUGCUGUUUCCUCCAGCUUUUCUUCUAGUUGCUUCAGGUGAUCUUCAGUGAAUGGAUAUGCAUCUGCUCCAUAAGCUGCUAGGUGUUCUCUUGCUUCCUUAGUUAUUGUCUGCCCUUUGGGGCUGAUGGCUAUGGCUGCAGGAAUACCUUUUAUUUUGAAUUUUCGUUGCAGGAUUGUUUUCCUUUCAUCACCAAAUGGAAGAGCUAACCAAGGCAUUUCUGAAUAGAAUUCAUCGAACGAAGAUUGAUCGCGGUCACUUGAGAUGAAGAUUACCUCAAAUGCAUUGUCCUUCGCCUUGAUUUCAUGGUAUGCUUCAAUUAGCUUGGGUAAAAAGGCUCGACAGGGUGGGCACCAUUUUGCUGAGAAAUAGAGGAGAACAUUCUUUCCAACUAGUUCUGAUACAGCAACCUUGGAACCGCU